CCUGACUGCUAUCGGAUUGAUACUAAGCCAUGCGAGUCAUUGUAGCAAUACAAGGCAGACGGCUCAGUAACGCGUAGUCAAUCUACCCUAUGGACGGGAAUAACCUCGGGAAACUGAGAAUAAUGCCCGAUAGAACAUUAUGCCUGGAAUGGUUUAUGUUUCAAAUGAUUUAUCGCCAUAGGAUGGGACUGCGGCCUAUCAGUUUGUUGGUGAGGUAAUGGCCCACCAAGACUAUUACAGGUACGGGCUCUGAGAGGAGUAGCCCGGAGAUGGGUACUGAGACACGGACCCAGGCCCUAUGGGGCGCAGCAGGCGAGAAAACUUUGCAAUGUGCGAAAGCACGACAAGGUUAAUCCGAGUGGUUUCUGCUAAAGAAACCUUUUGUCAGUCCUAGAAACACUAACGAAUAAGGGGUGGGCAAGUUCUGGUGUCAGCCGCCGCGGUAAAACCAGCACCUCAAGUGGUCAGGAUGAUUAUUGGGCCUAAAGCAUCCGUAGCUCGUUUUGUAAGUUUUCGGUUAAAUCCAUGCGCUUAACGUAUGGGCUGCCGGGAAUACUGCAUAACUAGGAAGUGGGAGAGGUAGACGGUACUCGGGAGGAAGGGGUAAAAUCCUUUGAUCUCUUGAUGACCACCUGUGGCGAAGGCGGUCUACCAGAACACGUUCGACGGUGAGGGAUGAAAGCUGGGGGAGCAAACCGGAUUAGAUACCCGGGUAGUCCCAGCUGUAAACUAUGCAAACUCAGUGAUGCAUUGGCUUAUGGGCCAAUGCAGUGCUGCAGGGAAGCCGUUAAGUUUGCCGCCUGGGAAGUACGUACGCAAGUACGAAACUUAAAGGAAUUGGCGGGGAGCACACAAGGGUGAAGCCUGCGGUUCAAUUG
This 878-nucleotide ribosomal RNA is filed under the name uncultured archaeon. RNAcentral's name for it is "bacterial SSU rRNA". It matches the Rfam family "Archaeal small subunit ribosomal RNA", at positions 21 to 908 of the family's 1478-position model. The record is from RNAcentral.